CAGAAAAGAUACCGCUUGCCGAUGCGAAAGCUUAGGCGAGUAAGGGUGAAAAGGUGGGGUAAGAGCCUACCGGAUAUUUGGUGACAAAUAUUGCAGGGUAAACCUUACGCGCUGAAAGAUCAUGUAAACUGCGAAUUUGAGGCUGCUCGCUUCAGUUCUUCGGACGUCGUGGAGGGUAGAUCGUUAGAGGUUAUUGGUGACAGUAAUCCCAGAUAAAUG
RNAcentral lists this ribozyme (219 nucleotides) under Favella ehrenbergii. RNAcentral's name for it is "partial Bacterial RNase P class A". It matches the Rfam family "Bacterial RNase P class A", at positions 115 to 314 of the family's 367-position model. From Rfam's summary of the family: Ribonuclease P (RNase P) is a ubiquitous endoribonuclease, found in archaea, bacteria and eukarya as well as chloroplasts and mitochondria. Its best characterised activity is the generation of mature 5'-ends of tRNAs by cleaving the 5'-leader elements of precursor-tRNAs. Lineage: Eukaryota; Ciliophora; Spirotrichea; Tintinnida; Xystonellidae. The record is from RNAcentral.